GCCUGGCUAGCUCAUUUGAUAGAGCAUUUGACUCUUAAUCUCAGGGUUACAGGUUCAACCCCCAUGCGAGGCA
RNAcentral lists this transfer RNA (73 nucleotides) under Fukomys damarensis (Damara mole-rat). It matches the Rfam family "tRNA". From Rfam's summary of the family: Transfer RNA (tRNA) molecules are approximately 80 nucleotides in length. The record is from Rfam by way of RNAcentral. Lineage: Eukaryota; Metazoa; Chordata; Mammalia; Rodentia; Bathyergidae.